GUGUCAGCAGCCGCGGUAAGACAGAGGGUGCAAACGUUGUUCGGAAUCACUGGGCGUAAAGCGCGUGUAGGCGGCCGCGUAAGUCGGGCGUGAAAUCCCACAGCUCAACUGUGGAAGUGCACUCGAAACUGUGCGGCUAGAGUCCUGGAGAGGAAGGUGGAAUACUUGGUGUAGAGGUGAAAUUCGUAGAUAUCAAGUGGAACACCGGUGGCGAAGGCGGCCUUCUGGACAGUGACUGACGCUGAGACGCGAAAGCGUGGGGAGCAAACAGGAUUAGAAACCCUCGUAGUCC
RNAcentral lists this ribosomal RNA (292 nucleotides) under uncultured bacterium. RNAcentral describes it as "partial 16S ribosomal RNA". It matches the Rfam family "Bacterial small subunit ribosomal RNA", at positions 505 to 796 of the family's 1533-position model. The record is from RNAcentral.